Molecule: transfer RNA, 97 nt
Filed under: Gemmatimonadaceae bacterium
Lineage: Bacteria; Pseudomonadati; Gemmatimonadota; Gemmatimonadia; Gemmatimonadales; Gemmatimonadaceae
Also listed under: 3 other names
Description: tRNA-Sec
Rfam family: Selenocysteine transfer RNA
Source: RNAcentral
GGGGGUGGAUGGGGCCUGGUGGCUUCCGUGAUCUUCAAAAUCACUGUGACCCUACUUCGUAGGGUCGGGUGGGUUCGAUUCCCACACUCUCCCGCCA